UUUUGGGAGCUACAAGAAACAUCUAGAAAGACAAGGAAGUGUGAUACAUAGCUAUUGAAAAGAAGAAAUUGGAGGAAGUAGAAGAAGCCGUGAAUAGGAAGAGUAGAUUGCUGAUUUCGCUGCCAAGCAUUGAAAAGUGGGGAUGAGAUGAUCUACUGGUGCUAGUACAUCUACGUUGAAGCUUUAAUAGGCAAAGCUGAAAAGUGGGUUAAAGGUGUUUUGUGGCUUGUGGAAGUGGAGCUAGCAUCGAAGAGUCUCAGAAACUUCAACAAAGACUAAAUUGUCAAGGGUGGUGAUUAGCUAUCAAAGGAAUCAUACAAAUACCCGAGGAAGCAGGGUGUGUGUAAACUUUGUAUCUAGGAGCUCCGUUUGAACACUAUUAGGAAUCCUGGUAUGUAAGAAUGAUAUGUUAUGAUGUUUUAGAGUUAGUUAUUGACAGUAUGUAAAUUAUAUACUCCCGUUCCUUUUGA
Long non-coding RNA from Tripterygium wilfordii, 470 nucleotides. RefSeq lists it as uncharacterized. The record is from RefSeq and is a predicted model, not a curated record. Lineage: Eukaryota; Viridiplantae; Streptophyta; Magnoliopsida; Celastrales; Celastraceae. The transcript has 3 exons.